UAUCAAUUGCAUUUAUUUAAUGAUAAAUGUUUUAUCAAUGAACAUCUCGAAUCUUGCUCUCUGACAACAGAUAUGAUCAAAUGAGAAACAAACAAGUGCCAGCAGUCCUGCCAAUGCCAGAAGGUGGGGAACAUCAGAGCUCUCCUGUCCCUGGAGUGGUCAAGUCCCGGAGCGUGACCAAACUCAUGGGCCGCCACCAACUGCAGAUUCACUCCUGAGGACAACAUUACACGUGAGUCUUUUGAAUAAGUGAAUCGGUCAACACUAUGUUUUAAAUAUUGUUGUGUGUUCAGAUGGUCACCCCUCUAGCUCAUUGUCCAGGUUUUGUCAUCGUCAAAGUGUGUUUCCCCGCCUUGGUCCCGUCCAGGGGAGUUGGCAAGGGCUAAGACACCAUUUGGCCAUCAAAAGGAUAGAAGUCCCCAUGAUCUGUGUUUGCGAGAUUUAAGAUAUUUUGUCAGUAGUGUAUAGAGAUGGUAUUGAAUCCUUACCAUUGUGAUAGUCCAUACUCACAUCAACCCUUGAAGAGGAUCAUGAUGUCGGCAGUGUCAGUGUAGAUCUGUUUGAAGUCUUGAGCGAUUACAUCACUGUAGAUUUGGAAGGCCUGAGCUAUAGUUGCAUCUACAUCACUCUGCCUCAGGUCUGGUGUGUACUGAGUGAUUCUGUCAAACACAAGUCAUUCGGCACUCACUCAUUGACAUUACCUGACAAGUAAAAGGGACCCAUUUUACUCCUGCAGUGCAGUGCAACCUAGGCAUUGCACAAUGACCCAGGCUGGGUAACAACGGAUUUGACAUUUCAGCAGAUGAUCAACAAUUAUCCAUGAAUACCAUAUUAUUUUCAAUGAUUUUAGCUGUCAAACUUAAUGCACUUAAAGAGCUUUUACUAUACCUGUAGGUGACAGUGCUCUUCUCCCAUUUUGGUUUCCUGUGGAAGUGUCCAUAUCUGCUGAUGUCAGACACUCCACACCUGGACUCCUUCAUCACCUCCAGAGUGUUUUUGUCCAGAACCCCAGUGACCUCCAGGCCAAAGAACGCCUGCAUGGCCUCCAGGCUCUUGUGAAUGUCAGGCUUGAUAAUACUCUGGGAAGUUGAUUUCGUCAACCCCACAUCUGUGUAGUAUUGAGACAGGUAGUCCUGGUGUAGAAGGAGGAUUAGAGACAACAUUUGAAACUAUCAUGCCUAUUAGGACUCUCAUGCAAAACAGUACAUAACAAGCAUAACAAGUAGACUAACAAGUAUUUUCUCGCCUCAUUCUGAGAUAAUACUGACAGUACGGGUAGCAACACACUGAGCCAUGUAAUGCUAAAUUACCCUAGCAACUGUCUCGUCAUCCUCUGGUGAUGUUUGGACCUCUGGAGUGCUGGUGGGGGCAGCCUGACACAGACCCAAACAGGCCAGAAACAGGACCGCGGAACCCGUAGAAAGACCCAUAAUUUACAAACCUGUCAUAAUGCAGAGAGGGAGACCCUCACUUUCUCUAUCACCCUGCCCUGUCCACACUCUAUUUUAACCUGUGGUGUGCAUGGUUCCAAUCAGAACAUGAGUGAGAUGCCAAAGUCGGCUUUGUGCUGUUGAACAUUGCUGUAAACGUUAGGACAAGCCCCUAUUCUCACGGAAGAGGGAUCAUCCUCCUGAUAACAUUUCAGGAGGUGGUGCGUAGAGUUUGGGGUGAUUGUUAGGGUGAGGUUUAGGCAUACUGUAGGUAUACAUUGUCAGGAUAAUGCAGUGGUUAGUUUGAAUAUCUUUGAUCAGUCAAUGGAAGCACAUCUAUUAACAUUCAAAAUUCAAAAUACCUAUUUUAUUGAAAUACAAUUCAGAAGUGUAACAUGUUACUACAUUAUAAUACAAUUAAUACAUUUGUAUUUUAUGUUCUGUACACAUACAGAAAGAUACCACUGGGAUUUAAGUGAACUGGCCUUGAAGACGGUUGCUUGAUGAUGUCAUUUAACUCCUUGCAACACUGUCAUCAACAUUCAACUGAUGAGUUAUCUUGGUUCAUGCAAGGUGAGGUGCUUCUGUAAGUCGCUCUGGAUAAGAGCGUCUGCUAAAUGACUUAAAUGUAAAAUGUCUGUAAGUAGUAUUCCUUUUCAUGAAGGAGUGUAGGAUCACGUCUAGUGUCUUUGACAGAUAUGUUAGCAGCCCAGCCAUGCAUUUGCUAGGAUUCGACUCAGCUCCCGGUUCUGUCUGUAGUCAUAGUUGUAUGCCUUUGUUCCACUGAAGAGGUAGAUUGUACCUGUUGGUGAGAAAACAUGAUAAUGUUUUGUUAAAGUGGGCCUUGUAAUCAAGAUAACACAAAUGUGUCAUGAUAUCAAAAUGUAUGCAAUUGAAGGCAAGGUGACAUGGCAAACUGUUUUAUAGGCUACCUUGUAACUCAAAUGCGGCAUCAACCCUCCUCCCAAUACCUGGCCAGUCUGAUGAACGUCUGUGUUCAUCGUAUCUAUACAUUGUAUAAAAAAAUAAACAUUGAACUUAUAAAUGA
This is a non-coding RNA of Salmo salar (Atlantic salmon), 2478 nucleotides long. NCBI's taxonomy places the organism in Eukaryota, Metazoa, Chordata, Actinopteri, Salmoniformes, Salmonidae. The record is from RefSeq and is a predicted model, not a curated record.